CAGCAUUUCAAAUGGCUACUUCAGUAUCGAAUCAGUCCAUACUUCUGCAGGUGGGGCAACGGCAUGAGAGUUUUGACAUACACCUCACCAUGGCCAGCUGACCAUCCAAAAUCAGACGAGUAUUUCUCUGACCCUCGUCUUGCGGCAUAUGCUGUACCUAAUGGUCCGAUAGUCCCCUGCGGCGAUAUUGCGAAGGACUACUUACGAAGGGAGGUAGAGAUAUUAAGAACAAAAAAACAUUGGAGGAAAGCAUACUUCUAUCUGUGGGAUGAGCCUCUUAACAUUGAACAAUAUACUUCCCUCCGCCGCAUGGCCAGUGAUAUUCAUGCCUAUGCACCUGAUGCUCGUAUUCUGACAACUUAUUAUUGCGGACCAAGUGAUGCACCUCUUGCUACAAAUAACUUUGAGGCUUUUCUGAAAGUUCCUGCGUUCCUACGUCCUCAUACUCAGAUAUAUUGCACAAGCGAAUGGGUUAUUGGUAACAGAGAGGAUCUGGCGAAGGAUAUUAUCGCGGAGAUACAAACAGAAAACGGAG
RNAcentral lists this unclassified non-coding RNA (535 nucleotides) under Hevea brasiliensis (rubber tree). Lineage: Eukaryota; Viridiplantae; Streptophyta; Magnoliopsida; Malpighiales; Euphorbiaceae. The record is from RNAcentral.